UGAUACGUAGGGGACAAGCGUUGUCCGGAAUUAUUGGGCGUAAAGAGCGUGUAGGCGGCCAAGUAAGUCUUACGUGAAAUCCUGAGGCUCAACCUCAGGCCUGCGCGGGAUACUGCUUGGCUAGAGUCCGGAAGAGGAGAGUGGAAUUCCUGGUGUAGCGGUGGAAUGCGCAGAUAUCAGGAGGAACAUCCGUGGCGAAGGCGGCUCUCUGGGACGGUACUGACGCU
RNAcentral lists this ribosomal RNA (227 nucleotides) under uncultured bacterium. Its description in RNAcentral is "partial 16S ribosomal RNA". It matches the Rfam family "Bacterial small subunit ribosomal RNA", at positions 521 to 747 of the family's 1533-position model. The record is from RNAcentral.